Molecule: ribosomal RNA, 547 nt
Filed under: uncultured Cryptophyta
Lineage: Eukaryota; Cryptophyceae
Description: bacterial SSU rRNA
Rfam family: Eukaryotic small subunit ribosomal RNA
Source: RNAcentral
AGCGUAUACUAAAGUUGUUGCAGUUAAAAAGCUCGUAGUCGAAUUCGGGUUGUAGUUUGCGAUUUUCUAUUGGUUUUAUACUUCUGGAAGGUGUGCAAACGACACCCAUCAUGUCAUUUUAGAUUUGAUUUUUAUUUUACUAUAGAAAUUAAAUUAUUUAAAAUGCCAUUUUUUACUGUGAACAAAAUAGAGUGUUCAUGGCUGGCCAUUUUGGCUUAUAUACCUCAGCAUGGAAUAAUAGAAUAGGACUUCUGGUUCUAUUUUAUUGGUUUUUAGAGCCGAAGUAAUGAUUAAUAGGGAUAGUUGGGGGCACCCGUACUCCGUUGUCAGAGGUGAAAUUCUUGGAUUUACGGAAGACGAACAACUGCGAAAGCAUCUGCCAAGGAUGUUUUCAUUGAUCAAGAACGAAAGUUAGGGGAUCGAAGACGAUUAGAUACCGUCGUAGUCCUAACCAUAAACUAUGCCAACUGGGGAUUGGUAGAUGAAUCAAAAUACAAACGACUCUAUCAGCACCCUAUGAGAAAUCAAAGUCUCUGGGUUCUGGGGG